UGCACUGCUGGCUGGUUGCCAGUCUUCCUGUACUUUAUGCUGUGGCUGUUGUUUGGUUAUUAAACUGUAGAGUUUUGUGAGGUGGAGGUUGAGGACCUUAGAGUGAAGAAACCGAUCCACCUGAGCUACGACGUCGAUGGCAUCGACCCUCUGUUACCCCGGCAACAGGGACACCUACAGAGAGGGAGUCUACAUAGCCGAACACCUCGGUCAGACAGGUCUUCUGUCGGCAGUGGACAUGGUGGAGGUGAAUCCUCUGAGGGUCAAA
This is a long non-coding RNA of Perca fluviatilis (European perch), 268 nucleotides long. RefSeq lists it as uncharacterized. The record is from RefSeq and is a predicted model, not a curated record. The transcript has 3 exons. Lineage: Eukaryota; Metazoa; Chordata; Actinopteri; Perciformes; Percidae.